This 517-nucleotide ribosomal RNA is filed under the name Dianemobius fascipes. Its description in RNAcentral is "partial 16S ribosomal RNA". It matches the Rfam family "Archaeal large subunit ribosomal RNA", at positions 1900 to 2665 of the family's 2987-position model. The record is from RNAcentral. Lineage: Eukaryota; Metazoa; Arthropoda; Insecta; Orthoptera; Trigonidiidae.
CAAAAACAUGUCUUUUAGUUUUAAUUAAAAGUCUGGCCUGCCCACUGAAGUUAAUUAAAGGGCUGCAGUAUUUUGACUGUACAAAGGUAGCAUAAUCAUUAGUUUCUUAAUUAGGAACUGGAAUGAAUGGUUUUUCGAGAUAUUAGCUGUCUACUAGAUAAGUAAAUUGAAUUUUAUAUUUAAGUUAGAAAGCUUAAAUGAGUUUUGGGGACGAGAAGACCCUAUAGAUCUUUAUAUUGAAUUCAAUAAUAUUAUCAUGUGGUUUAAUUGGGAUUUAUUGUUUUUGAUAUUUUAUUGGGGUGAUACGGGAAUAUAUAAACUUCUUGAGUAUUAUAAACUUGAAUUGAAGAAUUUUGGAUCCUUAAUUUAGGAAGGAAGAUUAAGAUACCUUAGGGAUAACAGCGUUAUUUUGUUAGAAAGUUCAUAUUAAUAACGAAGAUUGCGACCUCGAUGUUGGAUUAAGAUUAUUAGCUGGUGCAGAAGUUAGUUAAAUAGGUCUGUUCGACCAUUAAAUUCU